CUGCAGUAUAGUUAAUUCGCAAUGGUUAAAGACAAUAAUCGAUUAAUAGAGUGGAUCGUGGAUAGUGGUAAUGAUGAUUUCGCGGAGUUAAGUGAUGGAUAGUUAAAACGGCGGUACAUUUGUACAAGACAUUUUGCCGAAGAAGACAAGGUAGUGCAAAUAAAGUUGAAGAAGGAUGCCGUACCGGUAUUAUAUGAUUUGCGUGAAAAUAAUGAACAGCCGGCGCCUACGCGUAACAGUCAAUGUCUGCCUUUCUACUUAUCUAUCACAACAAAUACAGUCAGAGGCGAUCUAAGUUUCUAGUUAAAAGACAUUCAGCUAUCCGAUCAACCGUGUCUACGGAGCGAUCUAUAAAAGAAACUAAUCAUGGGAAUAUGGAAUACCAAAUUGGUAGUGGAAAAACCAAUUGCGGGGCCGGCGAUUGCGGAGCCGGCGAUUGAAGGACCGGCGAAUCUUGAGCCGGCGAUUGCGGGGCCACACAAUCUGGAGGUAUCAGUUGUGGAGCCAGUGGAGCCAGUGGAGACCCGUAUAAAGAAAAUAAAAGAAGCAGCACGGCGCCAGGCGAACAAAAAACAUCGAAAAAUGAGAACACAAUUAAGGAGAUACCAGAGGGAACAUAUACAUGCACCUCCGCCGGCCCCCGUCUACGUACCUCCGCCGGCCACCGUGUACGCAUCUUCGCCGGCCCCCGUGUACGCAUCUCCGCCGGCCACCGUUUACGCAUCUCCGCCAGCCACCGUUUACGCACCUACGGCGCACCCAUUUAUGGAACUACGCCGCACCGCCUAUACGUACCACCGCCGCACCGCCUAUACGCACCACCGCCGCACCGCCUAUACGCAUCACCGCUGCACCAGAUGUAUUAUAACCAAUAUUAAAAAAAAAUGUUUUUAAAAUACACUUUUUUUCUUUUAAAUACCUGUCCCACAUUAUAUUUUAAAAAUACAAUUAUUAU
Non-coding RNA from Osmia lignaria (orchard mason bee), 955 nucleotides. NCBI's taxonomy places the organism in Eukaryota, Metazoa, Arthropoda, Insecta, Hymenoptera, Megachilidae. The record is from RefSeq and is a predicted model, not a curated record.